UUGGAGACCUUGGCGCACUAGAGCCGGGGACACCACUGGCGCAGGAGUACAGACAACUCCUUUUUCUUUUUCUUUCUCCUCGAUCUUGGGCUCUACAUGAUUGCUAGAGGGACAUUUCACCUCUUACCCUUCUUUUUCUAGUCAACUUCACCUCUGCAGGGCCGCUGGACAAGUGGUAGUUCUUUCUAACUUUGUGUCAUUUUGUCCCCUAAGAAGGCCCUGACCUGCGGGGGCAGUAGCCCAGUACAGAGCCAACUCAAUGGAGUCCUUUUGCAGCCUGGGUGUGGGAGAUAAGCAAGACUGGCCCUCUGUUGCAGGUCUCAGCCAGAGAGAAGAACCACAAUGCCCCAUGACCUUUCCCAAUUUGCUGGAAUGAGGAUUGGCUUCAUUACUAGAGCCAGAAGAAAUUCUUGGCUUGGAGCGAUUGGUUCUCACCUUUAAUCCCAGCAAUCAGAAGUCUGCUGUCUAGAGCCUAGUACAGGUCUGUCCUGGUUGAAGACACCUCUCCCAUGCCAAGGACCGUUCCGGACCACCCCAUUCUCAGGGUCUCUGAGGGAUGAAGCUCAUCUUCCAACUGGUGAGGAGUUGGCGGCGCGCGGAGGAGCAGGUGGGAGAAACUCUCCUUACCUCCGUCAUCAGGCGGUCAGCGCCGCUGUUCUCCUCAUCCUUGAAGAUUAUG
Long non-coding RNA from Psammomys obesus (fat sand rat), 679 nucleotides. RefSeq lists it as uncharacterized. The record is from RefSeq and is a predicted model, not a curated record. NCBI's taxonomy places the organism in Eukaryota, Metazoa, Chordata, Mammalia, Rodentia, Muridae. The transcript has 4 exons.